Molecule: ribosomal RNA, 447 nt
Filed under: uncultured bacterium
Lineage: Bacteria
Description: partial 16S ribosomal RNA
Rfam family: Bacterial small subunit ribosomal RNA
Source: RNAcentral
GCCAGACUCCUACGGGAGGCAGCAGUGGGGGAUAUUGCACAAUGGGGGGAACCCUGAUGCGGCGACGCCGCGUGGGUGAAGGAGCGUUUCGGCGCGUAAAGCCCUAUCGGCAGGGAAGAAGGAGGACGGUACCUGACUAAGAAGCCCCGGCUAACUACGUGCCAGCAGCCGCGGUAAUACGUAGGGGGCAAGCGUUAUCCGGAUUUACUGGGUGUAAAGGGGGCGCAGACGGCAGCGCAAGCCAGGAGUGAAAGCCCGGGGCCCAACCCCGGGACUGCUCUUGGAACUGCGCGGCUGGAGUGCAGGAGGGGCAGGCGGAAUUCCUGGUGUAGCGGUGAAAUGCGUAGAUAUCAGGAGGAACACCGGUGGCGAAGGCGGCCUGCUGGACUGCGACUGACGUUGAGGCCCGAAAGCGUGGGGAGCAAACAGGAUUAGAUACCCCAGUAU